AGCAGUCAACAUUGUUUGUUUGGAGCUAGGGGAUGGAAUGUAUUACAUGGACAUUUGCCUCCUGGAACCCAGGUUUCAUAUAUGCCUCCAAAAUAAAGAGCCAAAUACUAGAAGAAAAGCGCCUAUACCUAACAAGAUUAAGUGAAUGCCGAAGUCUUGUAU
Non-coding RNA from Beta vulgaris subsp. vulgaris (sugar beet), 162 nucleotides. NCBI's taxonomy places the organism in Eukaryota, Viridiplantae, Streptophyta, Magnoliopsida, Caryophyllales, Amaranthaceae. The record is from Rfam.